CCGAUGUACCAGCCAUACACUUCCUCACACUUACACCGAUUAAAUUACCAUUUCAUGCAUUAUUCCACUAAAGCCUCAACUCUGAUAGAGGCAUUUCAUUUAGCACAGAAAAAUGGGUUGCAGCUCCUCGAAGAGAAUUGAAGCCACUGUUGAUAUCUACCGCCCACCCCCAUCAAGCUUUGCAGUUUUUGAUAUCAACUCCAUACAAGAGCCAUGGCUCUCCGUGGAUAAUUCUGCUCAAGAAAACCAAGAGAAGCCCACCCACCUACCGGCCCCCAUACUCGAGAAGCUCAAAAAGUUGGAAUCCGAUGCUCCUCAUUCUUGGGAAGAGGUUAGCAAAGCCCUAGAGGAGCUCAAUAACAAAAAUUCUAUUGCCGCACCUCUAAGGCCGGAUACCCUGACCACGCCGGCGAAAGUUAGCACCACUAAUGCCGCCUCCGUCACUCCAACCCCAAAAAAGACACAAGCCCCACUUAAGAGCUCAUCUUUUCAUACCCUUGAAGAACUGGACGCGAAACUAUCUUCAAAACCCCAAAAAGAGCUAAGAAAAACCGAGUCCAUGCGCACCGAGUUGAAGAAACCAGAGGCCACAAAGACUGAGUCACGAGUUGUUUUUGAGCCGGCAACCCAGUCAGAGAACGUUAUCAAGCCGGUGAAAGAGAACAUAUUCAUAUUAAGGGAUAGGCUCGAGAGAGAGAAAGAAGGGAAGAUGGCAAACUAUGACAAGAUAAAGAAGGACCCACUGAGUGACUAUCCAGAGAAGUGUCCACCGGGAGGAGCUGACUCAGUGGUUAUCUACACAACGUCGUUACGCGGGGUGCUUAGAACAUACGAGAAUUGCAACCGCUUGCGCGCCUUAUUGGAAGUACACCGAGUGGUGUUCGACGAAAGGGACGUGUCCUUGCAUGGAGAGUUCUUGAAAGAGAUAAGAGAAUUGCUAGGAGAAGAUGCGAGCGUACCGAGGGCUUUUGUGAAAGGAAGGUACAUAGGAGGAGUGGAGGAGGUGCUGAAACUGAACGAGUCAGAUCGACUCGGGAGGAUACUGAGUUGGGCACGUGUGGAGAGAGGGGUGGGGAGACAGGUGUGUGAAGGGUGUGGAGGGGCUAGGUUUGUGCCGUGUUUGGAAUGUGGUGGUAGUUGUAAGGUAUUGGUUGAUGGAGUCAGGGAGAGGUGUGGCAAGUGUAAUGAGAAUGGAUUGGUCCUUUGUCCUGCUUGCCUCUAAUUAAUUGAUAUUGAUGGUAUGUUGUGGAGAUUUUAGUUUGAACUUGGCAUCUUGUGGCUACAAUUGGAUGAAGCAAUGUAUGGGGGUGUGGAGGAGCUUCCAAGUUUGUGUUUGGUGUAUUUUUCAUGUGAUGAUUUUGAAUUUGACAGAUUGAAAGGAAGUGGAUUGAGAAAAUGUAAAUUGUGUAGCU
Molecule: unclassified non-coding RNA, 1412 nt
Filed under: Hevea brasiliensis (rubber tree)
Lineage: Eukaryota; Viridiplantae; Streptophyta; Magnoliopsida; Malpighiales; Euphorbiaceae
Source: RNAcentral